GCCUACGGGAGGCAGCAGCCGCGGUAAUACGGAGGAUGCGAGCGUUAUCCGGAUUUAUUGGGUUUAAAGGGUGCGUAGGCGGUUUGUCAAGUCAGCGGUAAAAAUUCCGGGCUCAACCCGGUCCCGCCGUUGAAACUGGCGAACUCGAGAGGGAGAGAAGUAGGCGGAAUGCGCAGUGUAGCGGUGAAAUGCAUAGAUAUUGCGCAGAACUCCGAUUGCGAAGGCAGCCUACCGGCUCCUGUCUGACGCUGAGGCACGAAAGCGUGGGUAUCGAACAGGAUUAGAAACCCGAGUAGUCCAUUAGA
Molecule: ribosomal RNA, 305 nt
Filed under: uncultured bacterium
Lineage: Bacteria
Description: bacterial SSU rRNA
Rfam family: Bacterial small subunit ribosomal RNA
Source: RNAcentral